CGCCCCAGACUCUCAUGCUUUUUUUUCUUUCAGUCUCAUUGCAGGACCAGGAAGAGGAUCAUUGACACGAAGGGGGACACUAACUCACAGGCUGAAAUCUUCCUUCAAAUUCAGUUCUGGCUAUAGGACAUCUCUUCCCAAACACCUACCGGAUCAUCGAAUCCAGCAUGUUGCAGAUAGAGUGGAAGGUCUGGGGCCAGGUACCUGCUUCACGUCAAUUGUCCAACUUCCCAGUUCUGAUGAAGUUGCCACCAGGCUCCACUCUUCCUUCCCCAUCAGUGCUUGCCUCACACUUGGUCCCAACCAGUUCCCCUAUUUUACCUGUGAGACAGUUUUAACAACCCUGUCCUCUUCCCUAGCCCCCACGCUCCAUUCUCCAUUAGGCAUUGCUUAUCUUUGACUGGACUUUUGAACUUGUCCUUGAGUGGCUCUAUCUCCAUUUUCUCUUCUCCAGUGAAUCCUACACAUGAGUACCCAAUGAAACUUACAAAAACAUGUUUCAAAAUCAUUCCUGCUAAGAAGACCAUCAUAGCUUGCCUAGAAAAUUAAUAAUAAACUCCUACCGUUUCCACACUAGGCCAUUCCUAUCAUAACCUCAACUUUGUUUCAGUUCUUCUUGCCAUUUCA
This 627-nucleotide long non-coding RNA is filed under the name Sus scrofa (pig). RNAcentral's name for it is "lncRNA (ENSSSCG00055006076.1)". The record is from RNAcentral. Lineage: Eukaryota; Metazoa; Chordata; Mammalia; Artiodactyla; Suidae.